UACGUAGGGUGCAAGCGUUGUCCGGAAUUAUUGGGCGUAAAGCGCACGUAGGCGGCCUUGUAAGUCGGAUGUGAAAUCCCUCGGCUUAACCGAGGACGUGCAUCCGAAACUGUGAGGCUCGAGUAUGGAAGAGGGUCGCAGAAUUCCCGGUGUAGAGGUGAAAUUCGUAGAUAUUCGGAAGAACACCAGUGGCGAAGGCGACUUACUGGACACAUAUUGACGCUGAGGUGCGAAAGCGUGGGGAGCAAACAGG
RNAcentral lists this ribosomal RNA (253 nucleotides) under uncultured bacterium. RNAcentral describes it as "partial 16S ribosomal RNA". It matches the Rfam family "Bacterial small subunit ribosomal RNA", at positions 524 to 776 of the family's 1533-position model. The record is from RNAcentral.